Molecule: non-coding RNA, 480 nt
Organism: Microcebus murinus (gray mouse lemur)
Lineage: Eukaryota; Metazoa; Chordata; Mammalia; Primates; Cheirogaleidae
Source: RefSeq, a predicted model, not a curated record
UCCGUGGUUGACAUUCCCAGCCAACAGCCCACAUCACUGUGAGAGAGCCAUCGUGGAUGUCCUGGCUAGUUGAGCCCUACACUCCUGUUCAACCUCCAUCUGAUUGCAAUUUCAUGGGCGACCCAAAAGAAAAUACCUAGAAGUGAGUUUGCUGGACCAUGACUAUGUGGUUGUGAACUGACUGAAAUAGUUCGGGUCCUGGGAGAAGAUAUAUACAACACUCAAAAAGUUUAAUUGAGGAAAGUUAAAUGAAGGCCAUAUUUUGAUGGCUAUGAUCUGGAUUAAGGGGACAGACGUGGAAUGAUCAAUAACCCCACAUGAAGCCAUUGCCACCCCUCCGCUGGAAGGCACAAUGAUAAGAAUGAAGUAUCCCAGGAACGUGGAGAUGGCUCAAAGCUCUGGAAGAAGAACACCUGCCUCCAUCAGGGACUGAUACCUUGGUGAUCAGCCACUACCACAACCACAGUCAAGAAUGGCUGG